AAGAAUUUAAGUUAAUAAUAAACUUUUGACCUUCAAAGCCAAACACAGGACAAUAAGCCUAAUUCUUA
RNAcentral lists this transfer RNA (68 nucleotides) under Scolytinae sp. BMNH 1039990. Its description in RNAcentral is "tRNA-Trp". The record is from RNAcentral. Lineage: Eukaryota; Metazoa; Arthropoda; Insecta; Coleoptera; Curculionidae.